UUAUGAUGAUGACGAUGACGAUGACGAUGAUGAUGAUGACUCAAUUGUCAUUACUGUUCAUCGUCAUCAUCGUCAUCAUCAUCAUUAUUA
RNAcentral lists this microRNA precursor (90 nucleotides) under Bigelowiella natans CCMP2755. RNAcentral describes it as "miRNA EPrBNAG00000013294". It matches the Rfam family "mir-598 microRNA precursor family". The record is from RNAcentral. Lineage: Eukaryota; Cercozoa; Chlorarachniophyceae.